UAGGGAAUUUUCGUCAAGUGGGGCAACCCUGAACGAGCAAUGCCGCGUGAGCGAAGAAGGUCUUCGGAUUGUAAAGCUCUGUUGACCGGGGAAAAAGGAAGGAAAGAGGAAAUGUCUUUUCUUUGGAUGGUACCCGGCCAGAAAGUCACGGCUAACUACGUGCC
RNAcentral lists this ribosomal RNA (164 nucleotides) under uncultured bacterium. RNAcentral describes it as "partial 16S ribosomal RNA". It matches the Rfam family "Bacterial small subunit ribosomal RNA", at positions 355 to 509 of the family's 1533-position model. The record is from RNAcentral.